Panonychus citri (citrus red mite) is the source of this 67-nucleotide non-coding RNA. The record is from the annotation of a RefSeq genome assembly. NCBI's taxonomy places the organism in Eukaryota, Metazoa, Arthropoda, Arachnida, Trombidiformes, Tetranychidae.
AUUAUACAAAAAAAUUUUGACUUGAAUGUAAUUUAAUUUCGAAUUAAAUUUUUAUUAAAGUCUGAUU